AACGGUCUAUACCUGCGGUACCUGCGGAGGGAUCAUUACAUGGCGGAGGAGGUGGGCACCUAGUAAAAACAAAACCCUAGGUGUGUUGCCUACCACGCUUUCUACCCUUGUCUAUUUGCACCUUUUGUCGUUCCCUCGGUGGGUCUUGAACCUGCCGGCGGCAACUUUCAAAAACCUUUUGUAGUUAGUAUCUAAUUCUUCUGAUCAAAUAUUCAAUCGUUACAACUUUCAGCAACGGAU
RNAcentral lists this unclassified non-coding RNA (240 nucleotides) under soil metagenome. RNAcentral's name for it is "partial contains 5.8S ribosomal RNA, internal transcribed spacer 2, and large subunit ribosomal RNA". The record is from RNAcentral.